AGUCUCGUGCUUUGUGAUCGCCGGUGAGUUUGUUUGUUUAUGAAUUUUAUCUUUGGUUGCCGUGAAAAUUUCCUAAUGGAAGAGGAAAGUUUUGCUACAUCAUAAGCCCUAAUAGUAGAGCCUAUUUUUGUUUAGUCAAGCGGCAGAACCGGGGACUUUGUACUUAAAUGGGUGUAAUAUUUUUUUUCAAGCUGAGGUAAUAACAAUUUAGAGUUUAGUUUUGUGAAGUUUUGGUACCAAAUGGAUGUUUAGGUUUUUAUUGCUGUAUUAGUUUG
This 275-nucleotide unclassified non-coding RNA is filed under the name Hevea brasiliensis (rubber tree). The record is from RNAcentral. Lineage: Eukaryota; Viridiplantae; Streptophyta; Magnoliopsida; Malpighiales; Euphorbiaceae.